GUCGAACGCUGGCGGCGUGCUUAACACAUGCAAGUCGAACGGAAAGGCCCUGCUUUUGUGUGGUGCUCGAGUGGCGAACGGGUGAGUAACCCGUGAGUAACCUGCCCUUGACUUUGGGAUCACUUCAGGAAACUGGGGCUAAUACCGGAUAGGAGCUCCUGCGGCAUGGUGGGGGUUGGAAAGUUUAGGCGGUUGGGGAUGGACUCGCGGCUUAUCAUCUUGUUGGUGGGGUAGUGGCUUACCAAGGCUUUGACGGAUAGCCGGCCUGGGAGGUUGACCGGGCCCCAGGGGCCUGCGAGACGGAGCAGAGUGCAACUGGAGGCAGCAGUGGGGAGUAUUGCACAAUGAGCGGAAGCCUGAUACAGCAACGCCGCGUGCGGGAUGACGGCCUGCGGGUUGUAAACCGCUUUCGCCUGUGACGAAGCGUGAGUGACGGUAAUGGGUAAAGAAGCACCGGCUAACUACGUG
This 468-nucleotide ribosomal RNA is filed under the name uncultured bacterium. RNAcentral's name for it is "partial 16S ribosomal RNA". It matches the Rfam family "Bacterial small subunit ribosomal RNA", at positions 28 to 507 of the family's 1533-position model. The record is from RNAcentral.